GGCUUUGAAACCGGGACGCUAGUUUCGGUGGAGCCGACCUUGAAAUACCACCCUGGUUUGUUUGAGGUUCUAACCUUGGCCCGUGAAUCCGGGUCGGGGACAGUGCAUGGUAGGCAGUUUGACUGGGGCGGUCUCCUCCCAAAGUGUAACGGAGGAGUUCGAAGGUACGCUUGGUACGGUCGGACAUCGUACCUAAAGUGCAAUGGCAAAAGCGUGCUUAACUGCGAGACCGACAAGUCGAGCAGGUGCGAAAGCAGGACAUAGUGAUCCGGUGGUUCUGUAUGGAAGGGCCAUCGCUCAACGGAUAAAAGGUACUCUAGGGAUAACA
RNAcentral lists this ribosomal RNA (328 nucleotides) under uncultured eukaryote. RNAcentral describes it as "LSU rRNA". It matches the Rfam family "Bacterial large subunit ribosomal RNA", at positions 2153 to 2479 of the family's 2925-position model. The record is from RNAcentral.